Molecule: ribosomal RNA, 420 nt
Filed under: uncultured soil bacterium
Lineage: Bacteria
Description: bacterial SSU rRNA
Rfam family: Bacterial small subunit ribosomal RNA
Source: RNAcentral
AGGACGAACGCUGGCGGCGUGCUUAAUACAUGCAAGUCGAGCGAGAAGCCACCGCUCCGUAAGGAGUGGUGGUGGAAAGCGGCGAACGGGUGAGUAACACGUGGGUAAUGUGCCCUGAACAUCGGGAUAACAGCGGGAAACCGCUGCUAAUACCGAAUAACCCUGCAAUGUCGCAUGACGAAGCAGGCAAAGUUCCGGCGGUUCAGGAUCGAGCCCGCGGUGUAUCAGCUUGUUGGUGGGGUAACGGCCUACCAAGGCUUUGACGCAUAGCUGGCGUGAGAGCGCGACCAGCCACACGUGGGACUGAGACACGGCCCAGACCUCCGUACGGGAGCAGCAGGUAGGGAAUUCGUUGGCGCGAAGUCGGGACGAAACGCCUAGACGCAGGCGACCGGCCGCGUGGAGGAUGAAUCGGCCGUU